GUAGGGAAUCUUCCACAAUGGACGAAAGUCUGAUGGAGCAACGCCGCGUGAGUGAAGAAGGUCUUCGGAUCGUAAAACUCUGUUGUUAGAGAAGGACGUGCAUGAUAGUAACUGAUCAUGUAAUGACGGUAUCUAACCAGAAAGCCACGGCUAACUACGUGCCAGCAGCCGCGGUAAUACGUAGGUGGCAAGCGUUGUCCGGAUUUAUUGGGCGUAAAGGGAACGCAGGCGGUUUUUUAAGUUCGAUGGGAAAGCCUUCGGCUUAACCGAAGAAUAGCAUUGGAAACUGGAAGACUUGAGUGCAGAAGAGGAGGGUGGAAUUCCAUGUGUAGCGGUGAAAUGCGUAGAUAUAUGGAGGAACACCAGUGGCGAAAGCGGCUCUCUGGUCUGUAACUGACGCUGAGGUUCGAAAGCGUGGGUAGCAAACAGGAUUAGAUACCCUUGUAGUCC
RNAcentral lists this ribosomal RNA (450 nucleotides) under uncultured bacterium. RNAcentral describes it as "partial 16S ribosomal RNA". It matches the Rfam family "Bacterial small subunit ribosomal RNA", at positions 354 to 796 of the family's 1533-position model. The record is from RNAcentral.